UACGUAGGGGGCUAGCGUUGUCCGGAAUCAUUGGGCGUAAAGCGCGUGUAGGCGGUUCGGUAAGUCCGCUGUGAAAGUCGGGGGCUCAACCCUCGAAUGCCGGUGGAUACUGUCGGACUAGAGUACGGAAGAGGCGAGUGGAAUUCCUGGUGUAGCGGUGAAAUGCGCAGAUAUCAGGAGGAACACCAAUUGCGAAGGCAGCUCGCUGGGACGUUACUGACGCUGAGACGCGAAAGCGUGGGGAGCAAACGGG
RNAcentral lists this ribosomal RNA (253 nucleotides) under uncultured bacterium. RNAcentral describes it as "partial 16S ribosomal RNA". It matches the Rfam family "Bacterial small subunit ribosomal RNA", at positions 524 to 776 of the family's 1533-position model. The record is from RNAcentral.